This 253-nucleotide ribosomal RNA is filed under the name uncultured bacterium. RNAcentral describes it as "partial 16S ribosomal RNA". It matches the Rfam family "Bacterial small subunit ribosomal RNA", at positions 524 to 776 of the family's 1533-position model. The record is from RNAcentral.
UACGUAGGGUGCGAGCGUUGUCCGGAAUUAUUGGGCGUAAAGGGCUCGUAGGCGGUUUGUCGCGUCGGGAGUGAAAACGCCGUGCUUAACACGGCGCUUGCUUUCGAUACGGGCAGACUAGAGGUAUGCAGGGGAGAACGGAAUUCCUGGUGUAGCGGUGAAAUGCGCAGAUAUCAGGAGGAACACCGGUGGCGAAGGCGGGUCUCUGGGCCGAUACUGACGCUGAGGAGCGAAAGCUAGGGGAGCAAACAGG